RNAcentral lists this long non-coding RNA (408 nucleotides) under Chinchilla lanigera (long-tailed chinchilla). RNAcentral's name for it is "lncRNA (ENSCLAG00000025055.1)". Lineage: Eukaryota; Metazoa; Chordata; Mammalia; Rodentia; Chinchillidae. The record is from RNAcentral.
UGCAAAGAGCCUGCUCAAUAAUUUUAACAUUAUCAGUAGUGUUUGCAGGGGCAGUUAGUACUGUAGUGUUUUUCCACUGCUAAUAUUUAAUUUUUUUUUCUGUUCUGCAGCUAUUAAUUAGCAUUUUUCCAUGAGGAAGAGAUGACUGGAUCAUGAUAAAAUUCAACUGGUGGCAACUUGAGCUAUAAAAAAAAAUGGAAAAAUAAAACUAAACAGACAUGUGAACAUCUUGGUCCAUCAUUCUGGGAAUUCAAGGAUGAAACGAAAGCUUGGAAACACUGCUGGGGUGAUUACAUGUGCUCCAUUGCUUGACUAAGAAAGUCCUUCACCCAUAUCCUUUGAAUGCACGUAAGUGUGUUGUCCCCAGAGCGCUUUUCAGACUGUUUUGAGUCACAGCUGAUUGCCAGU